AUUGAACGCUGGCGGCAGGCUUAACACAUGCAAGUCAAGCGGUAGCACAGGGGAUCUUGCUCCCUGGGUGACGAGCGGCGGACGGGUGAGUCAUGUCUGGGAAACUGCCUGAUGGAGGGGGAUAACUACUGGAAACGGUAGCUAAUACCGCAUAACGUCGCAAGACCAAAGAGGGGGACCUUCGGGCCUCUUGCCCUCAGAUGUGCCCAGAUGGGAUUAGCUAGUAGGUGGGGUAAUGGCUCACCUAGGCGACGAUCCCUAGCUGGUCUGAGAGGAUGACCAGCCACACUGGAACUGAGACACGGUCCAGACUCCUACGGGAGGCAGCAGUGGGGAAUAUUGCACAAUGGGCGCAAGCCUGAUGCAGCCAUGCCGCGUGUGUGAAGAAGGCCUUCGGGUUGUAAAGCACUUUCAGCGAGGAGGAAGGUGGUGAGCUUAAUACGUUCAUCAAUUGACGUUACUCGCAGAAGAAGCACCGGCUAACUACGUG
This 490-nucleotide ribosomal RNA is filed under the name uncultured bacterium. RNAcentral's name for it is "partial 16S ribosomal RNA". It matches the Rfam family "Bacterial small subunit ribosomal RNA", at positions 30 to 507 of the family's 1533-position model. The record is from RNAcentral.